UUUAAAUAUUUAAUAUGUAUUUUUUUAAAAAAUAGUUAGACAGCAUCAAUAUUAACUAAACAUUUUUAUAGACAAUAAUCUAUAUUUUUUUCGUUUAGAUCUAUUUUUAAGUAUUACUACUUGAAAAAAGUGACGGCGACGGCGAUGGCGAUAGAUUUCUAGGGUUUUGAUGAUUGAUCGAGAUUGGGAUCCGGGAUCUCAGAGGAAGAUUGAGGGGUAAUCCACGGGCUUUCCAUAGGUUGGGAAGAAGGAUCGCGGUUGUUAGGAAAUGGUUAUUAUUAGGAUCUUUCAUAUGGAUGCAGUAUCCAGAAGAUCAAUCAUUCAGAUUACAAGGGGAAAAAAUAUGGAGGCACUUGGAUUUUAAAGGGAUUUUUCUUCGUGGUUUGGGAGUUUUCAAUUUAACUUAUGGAGGUUGGCGCGUUAAGGAUAUUAGGUUUUUGCAAGAGAAACAAAAAUUGUUUUCAAACAUUCUUAAGAUUAGCUUGAAUGUACUUAAAGGUCAUAUCUUUUAUUUUCUUCAUAUGAGUAUCUUGUUUGAAGGAAAGGGGAUGCGAGGAAUGAAUGUGGGAUUCGAUAAUUCUAUGCUGUCACGAAGUCAAUGUGUCUUUCACAGGUUGGCAAGGUCUUGCAGGUGGGUAAGGGCUCGUGGGGUGGAGCGUAACCAAGAAGGGUGGGAUGUUCGAUCUCACGGUAAUGGAUGGUUUCUGCAAAUUCAAAUCCCAAAUGAAUGUUGGGUUACAGGGUUUGAGGUUUUAUUUGGUGCAUGGAGGCUUGCAUUAGGGAUUGCAAUAUUGGCACUUUGGUUCUUCCCUAGCAGGAACAAAGAUAUACGGUGUCUGGAUAGUAGGUUGAGCAAGUAUUGGGUCAAGCUAACAGUAAAUAAUUAUGUCUUUUUGGUUUGUAUGUAUAUUGGUCUUUGGGAUUAUGAUAUUGCUGGAGGCACAUUUGGUCGGUCUUGUUACUAUAUGGUUUGGAUUUGUGAGUGGGGCUACUUAUAUAUGGAUCGAGAAUUCUUGUAUUUUAUGGACACGCUAUGUGUAUUGGUUCUACGGCAACUGGUAAUUAGGAGUUUUUUGUUGUUAUUUCA
Molecule: long non-coding RNA, 1087 nt
Organism: Brassica oleracea var. oleracea
Lineage: Eukaryota; Viridiplantae; Streptophyta; Magnoliopsida; Brassicales; Brassicaceae
Exons: 2
Source: RefSeq, a predicted model, not a curated record